UAUUAUAUAAGGGAGCUGUUAUUUUGUAUCAGACAUUUAUAUUGUAAAGACUUUUCACUCCAUAUUGAUUAAUUCCAGAUAAUAAUAUAUCAUGAAAGUACACAUUUAUACAUUUGCCAUAGUUUUACUUGCUGGCUUUUUGGACAUGGACACUUUUUGUGUAGAUGGCGCUGAAGGUCAAGGCCCUAUACCAUGCUUCUCCGACUCUGAGUGCGAACCCAUCUGUGAAUCAAAAUGUCGUGCCCCAUAUUUUGCUCUCUGCACUGAAGCUUGCUGGUGUGGUCCACUCGAAGACAAAAAAUAGCUGGUCUUGACAAUAACAUACUUGCUUAAAAUGAUUUAAGUACGUGUGUGACCCUAUAUAUUUAUUUACUAAGAUCACAACCCUCACUGUUGCGUUAUAGAUGGUCGAUAAUAUAAUAUAAUAUUGUUUCAUGUAA
Maniola jurtina (meadow brown) is the source of this 440-nucleotide long non-coding RNA. RefSeq lists it as uncharacterized. The transcript is spliced from 2 exons. The record is from RefSeq and is a predicted model, not a curated record. Lineage: Eukaryota; Metazoa; Arthropoda; Insecta; Lepidoptera; Nymphalidae.